Molecule: ribosomal RNA, 497 nt
Filed under: uncultured bacterium
Lineage: Bacteria
Description: partial 16S ribosomal RNA
Rfam family: Bacterial small subunit ribosomal RNA
Source: RNAcentral
GAUGAACGCUGGCGGCGUGCCUAAUACAUGCAAGUCGAGCGAACGGACGAGAAGCUUGCUUUUCUGAUGUUAGCGGCGGACGGGUGAGUAACACGUGGAUAACCUACCUAUAAGACUGGGAUAACUUCGGGAAACCGGAGCUAAUACCGGAUAAUAUUUUGAACCGCAUGGUUCAAAAGUGAAAGACGGUCUUGCUGUCACUUAUAGAUGGAUCCGCGCUGCAUUAGCUAGUUGGUAAGGUAACGGCUUACCAAGGCAACGAUGCAUAGCCGACCUGAGAGGGUGAUCGGCCACACUGGAACUGGGACACGGUCCAGACUCCUACGGGAGGCAGCAGUAGGGAAUCUUCCGCAAAGGGCGAAAGCCUGACGGAGCAACGCCGCGUGAGUGAUGAAGGUCUUCGGAUCGUAAAACUCUGUUAUUAGGGAAGAACAUAUGUGUAAGUAACUGUGCACAUCUUGACGGUACCUAAUCAGAAAGCCACGGCUAACUACGUG